AUUGAACGCUAGCGGCAUGCUUAACACAUGCAAGUCGAACGCUCUCUUCGGAGAGAGUGGCGAACGGGUGAGUAACGCGUGGGAAUCUACCCUAUGGUGCGGAAUAACCCUUCUAACGGGGGGCUAAUACCGCAUAAGCCCUUCGGGGGAAAGAUUUAUCGCCAUUGGAUGAGCCCGCGUUGGAUUAGCUAGUUGGUGAGGUAAAAGCUCACCAAGGCGACGAUCCAUAGCUGGUCUGAGAGGAUGAUCAGCCACACUGGGACUGAGACACGGCCCAGACUCCUACGGGAGGCAGCAGUAGGGAAUCUUGGACAAUGGGCGAAAGCCUGAUCCAGCCAUGCCGCGUGAAUGAUGAAGGCCCUAGGGUUGUAAAAUUCUUUCACCAGGGAAGAUAAUGACGGUACCUGGAGAAGAAGCCCCGGCUAACUCCGUG
Molecule: ribosomal RNA, 433 nt
Filed under: uncultured bacterium
Lineage: Bacteria
Description: bacterial SSU rRNA
Rfam family: Bacterial small subunit ribosomal RNA
Source: RNAcentral